Non-coding RNA from Malus domestica (apple), 1927 nucleotides. Lineage: Eukaryota; Viridiplantae; Streptophyta; Magnoliopsida; Rosales; Rosaceae. The record is from RefSeq and is a predicted model, not a curated record.
UUCUUACUUUUGCUUUCUCUUUCUCUUUUCUCUUUUGGCAGAUGGCAGAUAGACAAGGAAAUCACGUAGAGUGUCUCUUUUCCCCUUCUGCUUUUGCCGAUAAAAUCAGUGCAGUCUUCAAAUUGCUUACUUUCUCUUUUCACUUUCUCAGAAAUCAAAGAAUGAUUUCACAUGCAUGAAACAUUUUCUCCUUUUGCUUUCUCAGAAAUCAGAGAAUGAUCGCACAUGCCUGAAACACUUUCUCCUUUUGCUUUCUCAGAAAUCAGAAAAUGAUGGCUUUUUCCUUUUUGCUUUCUCAAACACAUGAUUUCACACGGUACCCCCUCAUGAUAGUACGCAUAGUAGAACUCAAAAUCAACGGCAAGCAUAAUUGCAUUGUUAAUUAGAUAAAUUCAAUGAAUAUACCUGACCCAAAAGGGCAUCAACAUCAUCUCAGUCUCAGUCUGAAUGCAGAAAAUGCCUGAUCUACGUCACCUUAAGCUGAGAAAUCACCUUAGCUCCGCCUUGUAUCUUUUCUCGGCUGUGCGAACUGGUCGGAGAAUGUGAACGGCGACCGCCGAUUGGACGCAAACAACGCAACUUUUCUGGGAAAUUUGGGGUUGGAGAUUGAGAGAAGAUGGAGACGCUCAAUGGACAAAACAAAUCGCCUAUGAUCAAUCAAAACCCAUUAAACAAAGACUGAUCAACGAUCAGAAACGAUCGGAAAAAAAGACCCAGAAAAACCCCAACUCAUGCACAUCCGUCGUACGCCUGAGAAGCAAGUCGGCGAUCGGAAUGCUGCAUCGGUUUGGAGAGAGAGAAGAUUCAGAGCCCGACCAACUGAAAAAUGAGUCUGUCAUUUCAACUUACUUGCACUGGCGCAGGGCAUCCUUUGUCUUCUUAGAGACGGGCAGCUACUCGAAUCUGGUGGCGCCGGCGUAGGGAGAAUAGAGGGUGUUACCGAGAUGGCUGACGGGGGCGUCGGAGGGCAAGGCGGGGAGGGACAUGGGGUCGGAGCCACAAUCGGGUUUCUGGGUCUGAGAGGUCCUUUUGCUUGCGGAAGUACUUCGAUCUGGGUUUUCUCACUGCGGCUGGAUCCGGCUGUGUUGAAAAAAACUUAGAAAAAAGAUCGAAUCUUUGGCGACAGAGAAGUAUGCGCGAGAUAGAGGAAUGCUUUGUCAGGGGACACGAUCGAAACUCCGGUUUUAUUCCUACUCUUCCUUCAAACAUCUGAACCUGAAUGGUUAUUCGGAAGAUAAGAACUGGGAUUCGCAUCCUUAUGAGGCGGGAAUCACGGGAUUGGUGGAAAUUUUUUAGCUUGAGGAGUUUUGAAACUUUUUGUAGUCUCGCCAGGUUCACACCGCGUGGAACUCCAGGAACUGGGUCUGAGAACUUCGCCCGGAGAAGGAUUUUUCGAAUUUGUUGAAAUCUGGAAAUCAGGAUGUGAAAGUCGUGGUGGUACCAAUUGGGUUUUUUUGUUUAAAUCUGUGUAUUUUGUAGAGAGAAAUGAGAUGAGACUGAAGCAGGAAGUGAGUCAGCUGAUUUUGUGUUUCUGGGAGGGUUUUGCAGAUCCACGGUGGACAGUGGUGAGGUUGUGAAGAUUUCACGGUGGUGAGAUGAAAAAUUGAGAGAGAACCGACAUAACUUUUCGUGUCGUUCCCAUAGACGGCGCCAAAUGUUGAUGCACAAAACCGGAGGUCUUGGUACAACGUAAAUCAGACCGUGAAUCUGCAGAAAUGUAAAUAAGAUAAGAUGUAUCGUGGUUCACCCCAAGGUUUGGGCUACGUCCACAUUGAUUAUAUUGUAUUUCUCUGAGAGGAUAGAGAGGGAGAGGGUGAGAGCUUCUGAGAGCUUCUGAGGUUGAGAGAGGGGAUCUCAGGCUUAGGAAUUGGCCUCCCCUAAUUGUGAGGGUGAGGGGUCAUUUUAUAGAAUAAAGACUCCUCAUUUA